This 494-nucleotide ribosomal RNA is filed under the name uncultured bacterium. RNAcentral's name for it is "partial 16S ribosomal RNA". It matches the Rfam family "Bacterial small subunit ribosomal RNA", at positions 28 to 507 of the family's 1533-position model. The record is from RNAcentral.
GACGAACGCUGGCGGCGUGCUUAACACAUGCAAGUCGAACGGUGAAGCGCCUUCCUUUUUGGUGGGUGUGGAUGAGUGGCGAACGGGUGAGUAACACGUGAGUAACCUGCCCCCUUCUUCUGGAUAACCGCAUGAAAGUGUGGCUAAUACGGGAUAUUCUGGGUCUGUCGCAUGAUGGGUCUGGGAAAGAUAUUGUUUCGGUGGGGGAUGGGCUCGCGGCCUAUCAGCUUGUUGGUGGGGUGAUGGCCUACCAAGGCGGUGACGGGUAGCCGGCCUGAGAGGGUGGACGGUCACACUGGGACUGAGACACGGCCCAGACUCCUACGGGCGACAGCAGUGGGGAAUAUUGCACAAUGGGCGCAAGCCUGAUGCAGCGACGCCGCGUGAGGGAUGGAGGCCUUCGGGUUGUGAACCUCUUUCGCCAGUGAAGCAGGCCUGCCUCGUUUGUGGGUGGGUUGACGGUAGCUGGAUAAGAAGCGCCGGCUAACUACGUG